UGAAUCAUUUUCNGAGGACAGCCUAC
This 26-nucleotide non-coding RNA is filed under the name Mus musculus (house mouse). Lineage: Eukaryota; Metazoa; Chordata; Mammalia; Rodentia; Muridae. The record is from RNAcentral.